This 1224-nucleotide long non-coding RNA is filed under the name Homo sapiens (human). RNAcentral describes it as "non-protein coding lnc-TNPO3-12:1". The record is from RNAcentral. Lineage: Eukaryota; Metazoa; Chordata; Mammalia; Primates; Hominidae.
CUCUGGGCCUGAUGGGCACACCAGGGCAAAGUGGGAGUGGCCGGUGCUGAGGAACCCAGGCACCCAGCACCGUGACCCUUCUCACUCCCAGGCCUCCUGUGGUGGUCUUGAGGAAGGGGCUGUGCAGGUCCCUCUGGAGUGGUCUGCCUUGGCUGGGAGGAUGAGAAAGAUGGGGCAGGCUGUUGGCAGGCACACCUGACAGGUGCAUGGCUGGCUGAUUGAUGAACUGUGACAGCCUGAGGUUCAGACAGCGCCCUCAGGGCACCCCUAGCCAUGCACUGGGACUCCCUAAACUUCCUGGCUCUAGUCUAGGUGAACUGUGCAUGAGGGGCUGGGACAUGAGCUCCCAAUACUGGUCUUUCUUCCUCAGGCUCCUUACAAGAGCUCAACCCCACUACCAGGAGGAGUUUUGGGGUGCCAGGUAGCUCAGAGUGCAAGGACCUGGCCCAGAGGGAAGAGAGGAGUGAGGCAGAGCCUGAGACCCAGAAAAGAAAGCUCACUCCCGGGACCCCUGGGCCGGGGGACCUGCCCUCCCAAAACCUGCCUUCCCAAGAUGCCCUUGAAGGGCUGGGCUCGGACCCGCACCUGGGCCAGGAGAGAGCAGAACUUCAAAGACCACCAAGGAUGGACACCCCUGAGUCUGAGAGGAGGACCCUCAGGAUCAGAAAGCGGAGACCCCUCAGCGUAAGAGAGCCGAGGCCUCCUGGGGCGAGAUCAAAGAUGCUCCUCAGAGUCAGAAGGUGAAGACACACGGGGGCCAGAGCCCAAGGGCUCCUCAGGGUCAGAGGGAGGAGUCGAAGAGAAUUUAGUCCUAAGUGCCAGGGAAAGGCGAGUCCCCAGAGUCCAGGGAAGAAGAUGCUGCGGUCUUGGGAAGGCAAUAUCUCACAAGCCUGGGAGGUGGCUCCCGGAGAGGCCACUGUGCAGCCCCCAGAGGAAGGCGACCCCCAUAGCCAUCCGAGGGACUCCUGCGGGUCCCUGAAAGCACAGACUCCAAAGCCUGUGGGCAGGGAGAGCCCAAACCUCCGGAGAAGGACUACCACGCUGACGCAGAGCAUGAUCAAAGGCGAGCCACAAAGGUCGGCACCGGCGGUGGCAAAGCUGGGGGCCGCCCGGGAGGGGGCGUGGGCUGCGCUUACCCGCCCGAAGCCCCCGGCCCGGCGGCGGCUCCCAGGUCGCGGAGCCGGAGCCGAGAUGCCAGCGACCCUGCGCGCCGAGGUAUCCGGG